GACAGAGGGUGCAAACGUUGUUCGGAAUUACUGGGCGUAAAGCGUGUGUAGGUGGCUGCGCAAGUCGGAUGUGAAAGCCCUGGGCUCAACUCAGGAAGUGCACCCGAUACUGCGUAGCUCGAGUACCGGAGAGGUUGGUAGAAUUCUCGGUGUAGAGGUGAAAUUCGUAGAUAUCGAGAGGAAUACCUGUGGCGAAGGCGGCCAACUGGACGAGUACUGACACUGAGACACGAAAGCGUGGGGAGCAAACAGG
Molecule: ribosomal RNA, 253 nt
Filed under: uncultured bacterium
Lineage: Bacteria
Description: partial 16S ribosomal RNA
Rfam family: Bacterial small subunit ribosomal RNA
Source: RNAcentral